Molecule: ribosomal RNA, 390 nt
Filed under: Nematostella vectensis (starlet sea anemone)
Lineage: Eukaryota; Metazoa; Cnidaria; Anthozoa; Actiniaria; Edwardsiidae
Description: Eukaryotic large subunit ribosomal RNA
Rfam family: Eukaryotic large subunit ribosomal RNA
Source: Rfam by way of RNAcentral
UGUUGUUGCAAUAGUUAUUCUGCUCAGUACGAGAGGAACCGCAGAUUCAGACAAUUGGCAUUUGCACUUGGCUGAAAAGCCAAUGGUGCGAAGCUACCAUCUGUUGGAUUAUGACUGAACGCCUCUAAGUCAGAAUCCUUGCUAGAACGCAACGAUAAUUACUUCCGGAAAAUCUUAGGCGAACAAGGAUAGAGAACAGGCUUGCCCGCUCUCCUGCGUCCCAAUGUGCCAAGAGGGACGACAACCCUCAAGGCACUAAAGUAUAUCAAAGUUUAAAAUUUCUGGAGAUAAAUCCUUUGCAGACGACUUAAAUAAAGAACGGGGUAUUGUACGUUGUAGAGUAGCCUUGUUGCUACGAUCUUCUGAGAUUAAGCCUUUGUUCUACGAUUU